Molecule: long non-coding RNA, 603 nt
Organism: Larimichthys crocea (large yellow croaker)
Lineage: Eukaryota; Metazoa; Chordata; Actinopteri; Sciaenidae
Exons: 3
Source: RefSeq, a predicted model, not a curated record
CAAGCCUGAGACAAACUCUAUUCUACAGUGCUCCUGGGUGAAGAGCACAGGAGAGGCUGGGGGGUGGGAAAAGCUGGAGAUCACCACAAGAGAUGGAGAUUUGUUCAUGCAGAACUGACCAUUGGAAAGUGUGUGACUUCAAUAAGACCCUCCAGGAAUUCGCAUUGUUACGAUUUGCAGCUUCAACACAACAUCAGUGAAUCUCCGUGAAUUCAGAGCGGUGUUGCAAUUUUAACCAAUCACUGCGAUUUUUCCACAACUUUGACCAAUCAUUGGCUUGAGCUGACGUCACUGACGUCGCCAAACUGCCUUUUGCUUCACUUCCGUGAACGAAACUGUGAUAGGGAAGAGCCCAGCACCGAAUCCCCAUCCGACGGGCGCAUUUCCUCCGCGGCAGUGUGCCAAGACCGGCUGUGGGUGGGCUUGGACCUCACCGCUUCCCGGGGCCAUGGACUUAGUGCUCGCUGCGCCCUCUCCGGGGCCCCCUCGCCCCUGGCACAACUGUCGAAUCGCAACAAAAACGUAAAGAGCACCGCAACUUUCAGCGCAAUUUUUUUGAAAACCUUAUGCAACAUCAGGCAUUUUAGGCCGCAACUAUUUCAA